GGGCUCACUUCAGCAGCACAUACAUUAAAACUGGAACGAUACAGAGAUUAGCUUGGUCCCUGGGUAAGGAUGACACAAAAAUUCAUGAAACUCAAGAGAACUCC
Molecule: small nuclear RNA, 104 nt
Organism: Zalophus californianus (California sea lion)
Lineage: Eukaryota; Metazoa; Chordata; Mammalia; Carnivora; Otariidae
Source: Ensembl